UACAGAGGGGGCGAGCGUUGUUCGGAAUUACUGGGCGUAAAGGGCGCGUAGGCGACCUUCUAAGUCGAACGUGAAAUCCCCGGGCUCAACCCGGGAACUGCGUCCGAUACUGGGAGGCUUGAAUCCGGGAGAGGGAUGUGGAAUUCCAGGUGUAGCGGUGAAAUGCGUAGAUAUCUGGAGGAACACCGGUGGCGAAGGCGGCAUCCUGGACCGGUAUUGACGCUGAGGCGCGAAAGCCAGGGGAGCAAACGGG
RNAcentral lists this ribosomal RNA (253 nucleotides) under uncultured bacterium. Its description in RNAcentral is "partial 16S ribosomal RNA". It matches the Rfam family "Bacterial small subunit ribosomal RNA", at positions 524 to 776 of the family's 1533-position model. The record is from RNAcentral.